AGGACGAACGCUGGCGGCGUGCCUAACACAUGCAAGUCGAGCGAGGAGAUCCUUCGGGAUGAUCCUAGCGGCGGACGGGUGAGUAACACGUGGGCAACCUGCCUCAUAGAGAGGAAUAGCCUUCCGAAAGGGAGAUUAAUACCUCAUAACAUUGCAGUUUCGCAUGGAACAGCAAUUAAAGGAGCAAUCCACUAUGAGAUGGGCCCGCGGCGCAUUAGCUAGUUGGUGAGGUAACGGCUCACCAAGGCGACGAUGCGUAGCCGACCUGAGAGGGUGAUCGGCCACAUUGGGACUGAGACACGGCCCAGACUCCUACGGGAGGCAGCAGUGGGGAAUAUUGCACAAUGGGGGAAACCCUGAUGCAAGCAACGCCGCGUGAGUGAUGACGGCCUUCGGGUUGUAAAGCUCUGUCUUCAGGGACGAUAAUGACGGUACCUGAGGAGGAAGCCACGGCUAACUACGUGCCAGCCGCUGC
Molecule: ribosomal RNA, 475 nt
Filed under: uncultured bacterium
Lineage: Bacteria
Description: bacterial SSU rRNA
Rfam family: Bacterial small subunit ribosomal RNA
Source: RNAcentral